GCGGAUGUGGCGGAAUUGGCAGACGCACUGGUUUUAGGUACCAGCGGGCGACCGUGGGGGUUCGAGUCCCUUCAUCCGCA
Non-coding RNA from Tumebacillus sp., 80 nucleotides. Lineage: Bacteria; Bacillati; Bacillota; Bacilli; Caryophanales; Alicyclobacillaceae. The record is from Rfam.